ACCACCACCGGCGAACCAGUACGAGCGGAAACGACGCUCGCGGCGCGCGGCCCGGGGGACGACCCGGGGACGCGCGUCCCGGCGAGCUCCGAACAACCCUCUGGGCGCGGCGAGCGCCAAGGAAUCGAAGCGGAAGGGGCGGCCGCCCCGCCCGGUGCGGGCACGCCCCGAAAGGGGGAUGCGGCACCGCGGUGGGGGAUCCGCCGCCCGUCUGUGAAGUCUCUUAGACGACUCUCGGCAACGGAUAUCUCGGCUCUCGCAUCGAUGAAGAACGUAGCGAAAUGCUAUACUUGGUGUGAAUUGCAGAAUCCCGUGAACCAUCGAGUCUUUGAACGCAAGUUGCGCCCGAGGCGAGGCCACUCGGCCGAGGGCACGCCUGCCUGGGCGUCACGCCACCCGUCGCCCCCCGCCCGCGGCAUUCCCAUGCCCGGCCGGGGAGCGGAGACUGGCCGUCCGUGCCCGAGGGAUCGGCGCGCGGUCGGCAGAAAAGGAAGGCACCGUGCGGCGCGACACGGCGUGUGGGGGUUGAGAGGCGAUCCGUCGCCGAUCGUACGUCGCGCCCGCAUUCCGCCGCGCGGUGCGGCCCGUGGGACCAGACUUCGCCCGCAGCCGCGGGCGCUCGGACCGCGACCCCAGG
Molecule: ribosomal RNA, 637 nt
Filed under: Endlicheria chalisea
Lineage: Eukaryota; Viridiplantae; Streptophyta; Magnoliopsida; Laurales; Lauraceae
Description: eukaryotic LSU rRNA
Rfam family: 5.8S ribosomal RNA (bases 230-390)
Source: RNAcentral